This 472-nucleotide ribosomal RNA is filed under the name uncultured bacterium. RNAcentral's name for it is "bacterial SSU rRNA". It matches the Rfam family "Bacterial small subunit ribosomal RNA", at positions 355 to 825 of the family's 1533-position model. The record is from RNAcentral.
UGGGGAAUAUUGGACAAUGGGCGAAAGCCUGAUCCAGCCAUGCCGCGUGUGUGAAGAAGGUCUUCGGAUUGUAAAGCACUUUAAGUUGGGAGGAAGGGCAGUUACCUAAUACGUAUCUGUUUUGACGUUACCGACAGAAUAAGCACCGGCUAACUCUGUGCCAGCAGCCGCGGUAAUACAGAGGGUGCAAGCGUUAAUCGGAAUUACUGGGCGUAAAGCGCGCGUAGGUGGUCGAGUAAGUCGGAUGUGAAAUCCCCGGGCUUAACCUGGGAAUUGCAUUCGAUACUGCUUGGCUAGAGUGUGGAAGAGGGAAGCGGAAUUUCCGGUGUAGCGGUGAAAUGCGUAGAUAUCGGAAGGAACACCAGUGGCGAAGGCGGCUUCCUGGUCCAACACUGACGCUGAGGCGCGAAAGCGUGGGGAGCAAACAGGAUUAGAUACCCAAGUAGUCCCUGAGCGGGCUGGCAAGGCGCAU